AUUGCUGCUACCAUGCUGUCUCAUUUCUGACAUGACAUUGGUCUCUUCCAAGUAAACAUUUAUCUUGUUCUUGUUUCUCUUCUCUUUAAUGAACAUUAUGGUAUUUUACAGGCACUGAGGAAUAAUGCAAUUAUUGCCACUCCAGUUAAUAAAAUAAUUCAGACAUUCACUCAUCCAUCUAUCCUUUCAAUUACUUAGUGCAUUGCAAAACAAAAGACAACUGACUGUAUAUGUCUAUAGACCACUCUGAGUAGGGCCCUGGGGAUGUGAUUUAUACUUAAAACCACAUAAUUUUAAGUAUUGGUUAAUUUUUUGUAAGCUCUUUUCUAAUACUCUUACUAGAAGACACCUGCUAGUUCCUGGAAUAAUAUAUACAGGAUUUGAUCAAGGGAAAUUAUGCUUAUUCUAUUGGUAGUCCAAGUCGUAGUUUUGCUAGAGGUAGCUUAAAGUUUUAGAUAUUCCCAAACUCAUUUUUUUUUAAUUCUUGGGAAACUUUCAGGUCAUUCAGUAUUUUUUUAAACCAUAUGCUCCAUCCAAAAGAUGGAAUCAUUCUCUUAUAUUAUAAAAAUCUAUGAUAGAGUAAAAUUAAAUUCCCCCCAAAUAUUCUACUUUGAUGAAAUUUUGUCAUACUUUCUAUAAUAGACAUAUUCCCAGUUUUGUGUCUUUUUUUUUAUUUCUUAAUUUUGUAAUUGCCUUACUAGAUGGUGCUGGCAGCCAGUGUUUUAGUGACAACUUUCAUUUUCAUAUUGUUAAAAAUAUGUACAAUGACUAGAAUAUCCUAUUAAAGAUAACAUUUAUAACAUCAUUUAGUAACAAAGACAAAGUACAUGCUUAUGUUCAGGUAAUGAUGUAGUGAAUAUGCUUGGAAAGUACAAUUUUGGAUAACUGCCUUAAAGAACAUUAAAGUUAACAUAAUUUAAUAGGGAAAAUACCUUGUGACAGUUAUCCUAAAAUCCCUCUAUGUAAAUUGGAAUUAAAAAUUCAGAGUUGGAUAGAUCCAAAUAUAGACUAUCCUGUAAAAAAUUGGAAACAUUAGAGAAUAAUAAUUUUCUACUCAAUGUAACAAUGGCAGUAUUUCUAAUAAGAAACAUUAAAUAUGUCUUCCAACAGAAGCAGAAAAUCUAGAAUGACUAAAUUAGUUUUAAAAUCUGUAUUUUGUUUGGAAAAUUCCUACUGAGGUACUUCCACUGCAAUUUAAAAGGAAGAGGUGUGUGCGUGUGGGCAUAUCACAGCUGUGCAUAGUUUGUUACAAGCCAUUUUUAGGCCAACUGGUCAGCCACAGCUGCCCAAGACUGGUUUAGAAAAUUAUAGGUCUUUAAUUUUUCACUCUCAAUUUUUUGCAAAAGUGCUGAGAAUGAGGCAUUCUUAAUUCGAUAUUCUUGAAGUUACUACAUAGGACACACAUAAGAGAGCUCAUAUCAUCACUGCUGUUUUCCAUUGUUGGAAAUAAGUCAGAUCAAGUUGAGGCAAACGGCUAAGGAGCUGGACUUAGAAUAAAAGCAAGGUUCUUUGGCAGAAAACACUUAGUGAAAGUUCUUUAGUGCAUGUCUUAAAUAUGGACCUCAAAAUGCAUUUUCCUGAAGACAAACACUUAUUACAAUAAGAACUCCAAGAUUUCCUACGCAGUGCAACUCCACAUUCUUUAUUUUGGACAUAGCAUUUCAAACUUUUUUUAAAGAAGCUAGACAGACUAUAACAUAGAGAAGUAAAUUAAGCUACCUAAGGAAACAAAAAAAUAUAUAUAUCAAAAAACAAAAACAAAAAACAAACAAAGAAAACAACCAGCAAAGCAAAUGCUGGAUCUUUUAUGAUUGGGGAAAAAAAAGAAUCUGGGUACUGGUAGAAGUUAUUGUUUGAUAUUUUCUGGUAUGUUUUCCCCCCUUUGGUUACGCAUCUAUGGUGGCUACUUGCUAUGUUCAGAUAUAGCAUAGUGGUCUUAAUAUUAUUAAAAUAAACAUGCUUUUAGCCUAAUUGGGCACUACAGAACUAUAGAACCAGAUGCUUCCUAAGAGAAGCAAGUGCAAAGCUUGCUUUGUGCAAUAAAACCUAAUGGCUUCAUGCAACAAAACUUAGAGUCCCAUACCUUGCCUUUUGUAGUGACCAUCUCUAUUUACACUUCUAAAACUUGAAAUGUCUAUAUCUCCAACAUCAAUUUGCAAUUGUAUAUAAACUAUAUAAUGUUCUUGGCUUGAAUGCUGAUUAAAACAUUUAUCAAAUUUAAAACAUUUAGAUAACUAAGGAUCUUGUUAUUAUUCCUUUGUAAAAUUCUAGGAGAAGGAAGUAAAAGAUGUUAAAAGCCUUAAAAAUGAUUAUUUAAAAAAAAAUAAAAAAAGAGUUCCCAUCAUGGCUGAGUGGUAAUGAACCUGAUUAGUAUCCAUGAAGAUGAGGUCAGUCCCCAGCCUCACUCAGUGAGUUAAGAAUCCGGUAUUGCCAUGAGCUGUGGUGUAGGUCGGAGACAUGGCUGGGAUCCUGCAUUGCUGUAGCUGUGGUGUAGGCGGGCAGCUGCAGCUCUGAUUCAACUCCUAGCCUGGGAACUUCCAUAUGCCGCAGGUAUGGCCCUGGAAAGACAAAAAACAAAACAAAACAAUGAUACUUAUCUUCUGAACCUUUGUAUAUUUUUAUGUGGUAUAAAAGCCAGAGGAGGUUCAAUCAUUAAUGCUGUGCCAUACCUAAGGGUGCUUGGGGUGUUGGGUAAUUGGGCUACAAUCGUCACUUGCCGUGAUGGAACUCACAGAUUACUUGAGAAUCUGCAGAGGGCAGCCAGCAACAAUAUACCAUGUUCAGACUUGUGGUAGAACUCAUCCUGUGGAACUGUGCUAUAGAAGACAAUUUGAAUACCAUUACUCUUGGUGUUCCCGUCGAGGUGCAGUGGUUAAUGAAUCCAACUAGGAACCAUGAGGUUGUGGGUUCGAUCCCUGGCCUUGCUCGGUGGGUUAAGGAUCCAGCGUUGCCAUGAGCUGUGGUGUGGGUCGCAGACGCGGCUCAGAUCCUGCAUUGCUGUGGCUCUGGUGUAGGCCGACGGCUGCAGCUCCGAUUCAACCCCUAGCCUGGGAAACUCCAUAUGCCUCAGGAGC
RNAcentral lists this long non-coding RNA (3074 nucleotides) under Sus scrofa (pig). Its description in RNAcentral is "lncRNA (ENSSSCG00000060393.1)". Lineage: Eukaryota; Metazoa; Chordata; Mammalia; Artiodactyla; Suidae. The record is from RNAcentral.